CACGUUAAAACACUUAUUCCCAUAAGAUCAUUGAAGUUAAGCAACGUUGAGCCUAGUCAGAUGGGUAACCACAUGGGAAUACCAAGUGCUGUAAG
This is a non-coding RNA of Acanthosepion pharaonis, 95 nucleotides long. The record is from the annotation of a GenBank genome assembly. NCBI's taxonomy places the organism in Eukaryota, Metazoa, Mollusca, Cephalopoda, Sepiida, Sepiidae.